This 73-nucleotide transfer RNA is filed under the name Felis catus (domestic cat). It matches the Rfam family "tRNA". From Rfam's summary of the family: Transfer RNA (tRNA) molecules are approximately 80 nucleotides in length. Their secondary structure includes four short double-helical elements and three loops (D, anti-codon, and T loops). Further hydrogen bonds mediate the characteristic L-shaped molecular structure. tRNAs have two regions of fundamental functional importance: the anti-codon, which is responsible for specific mRNA codon recognition, and the 3' end, to which the tRNAs corresponding amino acid is attached (by aminoacyl-tRNA synthetases). tRNAs cope with the degeneracy of the genetic code in two manners: having more than one tRNA (with a specific anti-codon) for a particular amino acid; and 'wobble' base-pairing, i.e. permitting non-standard base-pairing at the 3rd anti-codon position. RNAcentral also lists the same sequence under 3 other names. Lineage: Eukaryota; Metazoa; Chordata; Mammalia; Carnivora; Felidae. The record is from Rfam by way of RNAcentral.
GUCUGGCUGGUUUGGUUGGUGGAGCAUGUGACUCUUAAUCUCAGGGUCUUGAGUUCAAGUCUCACGUUGGACG